GCGGUUUUAAUUGGAUUCAACGCCGGAAUCUUACCGGGACCGACAGCAAUAUGAAGGCCAGGCUGAAGACUUUGCCGGAUUAGCUGAGGGGUGGUGCAUGGCCGUCGUCAGUUCGUACUGUGAAGCAUCCUGUUAAGUCAGGCAACGAGCGAGACCCACGCCCACAGUUGCCAGCGUACUCUCUGGAGUGACGGGUACACUGUGGGACCGCCGCUGCUAAAGCGGAGGAAGGAAUGGGCAACGGUAGGUCAGUAUGCCCCGAAUAUCCCGGGCUACACGCGAGCUACAAUGGUUGGUACAAUGGGUAUCUACCCCGAAAGGGGACGGGAAUCUCCUAAAACCAAUCUUAGUUCGGAUUGAGGGCUGCAACUCGCCCUCAUGAAGCUGGAAUCCGUAGUAAUCGCGCUUCAACAGAACGCGGUGAAUACGUCCCUGCUCCUU
This 441-nucleotide ribosomal RNA is filed under the name uncultured Methanosaeta sp. Its description in RNAcentral is "bacterial SSU rRNA". It matches the Rfam family "Archaeal small subunit ribosomal RNA", at positions 897 to 1338 of the family's 1478-position model. The record is from RNAcentral. Lineage: Archaea; Methanobacteriati; Methanobacteriota; Methanomicrobia; Methanotrichales; Methanotrichaceae.